RNAcentral lists this unclassified non-coding RNA (433 nucleotides) under soil metagenome. RNAcentral's name for it is "partial contains 5.8S ribosomal RNA, internal transcribed spacer 2, and large subunit ribosomal RNA". The stretch from base 1 to 120 matches the Rfam family "5.8S ribosomal RNA", at positions 35 to 154 of the family's 154-position model. The record is from RNAcentral.
GAUGAAGAACGUAGCGAAAUGCGAUACGUAAUGUGAAUUGCAGAAUUCAGUGAAUCAUCGAAUCUUUGAACGCAUAUUGCGCUCUCUGGUAUUCCGGAGAGCAUGCUUGUUUGAGUAUCAGUAAACACCUCAACUCCCUUUUCUUUUUUGAAAUGGGAGCUGGACUUGAGUGAUCCCAACACUUUUCUCACUGGAAAGUGGCGGGUCACUUGAAAUGCAGGUGCAGCUGGACUUUUCUCUGAGCUAUAAGCAUAUCUAUUUAGUCUGCCUAAAAAACAGAUUAUUACCUUUGCUGCAGCUAACAUAAAGGAGAUGAGUUCUUGUGCUGACUGAUGCAGGAUUCACAGAGACAGCUUUGCGGCUGACUUUGUAAACUCGAUCUCAAAUCAAGUAAGACUACCCGCUGAACUUAAGCAUAUCAAUAAGCUGAGGA